This 343-nucleotide ribosomal RNA is filed under the name Pelobates cultripes (western spadefoot toad). It matches the Rfam family "Eukaryotic small subunit ribosomal RNA", at positions 223 to 597 of the family's 1831-position model. Lineage: Eukaryota; Metazoa; Chordata; Amphibia; Anura; Pelobatidae. The record is from RNAcentral.
CUGGAGGAAAUCACUCAGCUCGUCAUGCUAGAGCACUUUUUCAAUGUGCUCCCCAACGAGAAGGCGACAACGCAUUUGUAUGUUAAUCCAUAUCAACUUUCGAUGCCAUUGACUGCGCCUACCAUGGUGGCCACGGGUUACAUGGAAUCAGGGUUUGAUUCCGUACAGGGACCCUGAAAAAUGGCUACCACAUGCAAGGAAGGCAGCAGGCGUGCAAAUGACCCACUGCCGACGCAGAAAGGUAGUGACGACAAAUAACAAUACUGGACUCUUUAGAGGCCCUGUAAUUGUAAUGAGUCCACUUGAAAUCCUUUGACUCUGAUCAAUUGGAGGGCUCAAAUAG